Molecule: ribosomal RNA, 254 nt
Filed under: uncultured bacterium
Lineage: Bacteria
Description: partial 16S ribosomal RNA
Rfam family: Bacterial small subunit ribosomal RNA
Source: RNAcentral
UACGGGGGGAGCAAGCGUUGUUCGGAUUUACUGGGCGUAAAGGGCGCGUAGGCGGCCAGCACAAGUCAGUUGUGAAAUCUCCGAGCUUAACUCGGAAAGGUCAACUGAUACUGUGCGGCUAGAGUGCGGAAGGGGCAACUGGAAUUCUUGGUGUAGCGGUGAAAUGCGUAGAUAUCAAGAGGAACACCUGCGGCGAAGGCGGGUUGCUGGGCCGACACUGACGCUGAGGCGCGAAAGCGUGGGGAGCGAACAGG